Molecule: ribosomal RNA, 309 nt
Filed under: uncultured eukaryote
Lineage: Eukaryota
Description: partial 18S ribosomal RNA
Rfam family: Eukaryotic small subunit ribosomal RNA
Source: RNAcentral
CCCUUAGAUGUUCUGGGCGGCCCGCGCACUACAAUGGCGUGUGCAGCGAGUGCCGAAGUAGAGUUUUCCGAGGUAUUCUUGCAAUGCUCGUUUUGAUGGGGAUAGACCCUUGCAACUGUUGGUUUUGAACGAGGAAUUCCUUGUAAGCAUGGUUUAUCAUCCGACGCUGAAUGCGUCCCUGCCCUUUGUACACACCGCCCGUCGCUCCUACCGAUUAGUCGUCCGGUGAAGUUCGUAGACCUCGUGAUCGCGGAUCACUGGGGGAAGCAAAAUGAACCUCGCGGUUUAGAGGAAGGAGAAGUCGUAACA